This 698-nucleotide small RNA is filed under the name Theobroma cacao (cacao). RNAcentral's name for it is "sRNA Tc04v2_g021310". Lineage: Eukaryota; Viridiplantae; Streptophyta; Magnoliopsida; Malvales; Malvaceae. The record is from RNAcentral.
CUUAACUUGUGGUUGAUAAUUUCCGGUUGAGUUAGUUUUUUUUUUCAAGUGCAAAAUCAAGACCGAAUAAGUACCAGGACAUGGAUUUUUUUUUGCCAGGUUAUGACGGAGGCUGAUUUAGGCCUUGCAGAAGCAUUUAUUAAUGGAGAUUUUCUUUUGUUGAUAUACUUAUUGCCAAUAGGGAUUUAAAUUCUUCAGUCUCUAGACUGAACAAGAGAAGGUUUCGUAUAACUUCCAAAGAAUGUAGACUGUGAUACAUACUAGCAUAAUACUUUCUUCUUUCGGUACAAUUGUUCAUAUCCAUACCAGAAGAAGGCUACGAUGAGUACAGGCCAAGUUCAGAUUCUAUCAAGGAAUACAUAUUUCCCUGGUGGAUGCGUGCCUUCCCUGAAUAGGAUAAUCUCAGCCAUGGCUGCUGCGUCCAGACUCUGGAUACAUUCAACGAAGGAUGAGACGUUAUCUUGGAUUUUCACGCCUUGGAAAUGUCACUGUCCUUGGCGCUCCAUGCCAAGGUUUUUCUUCAUCAUACAUUAAGGAGAUUAAUUCCUAAAGAUUACUAUUUUUGUAAUGAAAUUGCCAUGUCAAACAUGUGGGGAAGUCAUUUAUUUCUUUGUAAUCUUUUUUGUUUUCUCCACCUAACAAAUCAAGUCCAGUUGAACUAUUGGAAUUUGAACAUAUUAAUAUAUUUGAUUUAAAUG